GACGAACGCUGGCGGCGUGCUUAACACAUGCAAGUCGAACGGAAAGGCCCUGCUUUUGUGGGGUGCUCGAUUGGCGAACGGGUGAGUAACACGUGAGUAACCUGCCCUUGACUUUGGGAUAACUUCAGGAAACUGGGGCUAUUACCGGAUAGGAGCUCCUGCAGCAUGGGGGGGGUUGGAAAGUUUCGGCGGUUGGGGAUGGACUCGCGGCUUAUCAGCUUGUUGGUGGGGUAGUGGCUUACCAAGGCUUUGACGGGUAGCCGGCCUGAGAGGGUGACCGGCCACAUUGGGACUGAGAUACGGCCCAGACUCCUACGGGAGGCAGCAGUGGGGAAUAUUGCACAAUGGGCGGAAGCCUGAUGCAGCAACGCCGCGUGCGGGAUGACGGCCUUCGGGUUGUAAACCGCUUUCGCAUGUGACGAAGCGUGAGUGACGGUAAUGGGUAAAGAAGCACCGGCUAACUACGUG
RNAcentral lists this ribosomal RNA (468 nucleotides) under uncultured bacterium. Its description in RNAcentral is "partial 16S ribosomal RNA". It matches the Rfam family "Bacterial small subunit ribosomal RNA", at positions 28 to 507 of the family's 1533-position model. The record is from RNAcentral.